Molecule: long non-coding RNA, 223 nt
Organism: Pan troglodytes (chimpanzee)
Lineage: Eukaryota; Metazoa; Chordata; Mammalia; Primates; Hominidae
Exons: 3
Source: RefSeq, a predicted model, not a curated record
UCACCAUCACACUGGGAGUGAGGAAGGAUCAUCACAUGCCCAUUUUAUGGAGAACAAGACUGAGAGUUGAAGAGACUUCCACAGUUCUGGAGGCUGGGAAGACCAAGAUCAAGGCACUGGCAGAUUCAAUGUCUGGUCCCAUUGAAAGCUGGCAGCCUUCCACGUUGGGACAGAGCAAUGUUCCUAGGUGUAGAAUGUGUUGCUUCCAGAUCCCAAAGAAGUC